This 210-nucleotide ribosomal RNA is filed under the name Alexandrium monilatum. RNAcentral's name for it is "partial Bacterial large subunit ribosomal RNA". It matches the Rfam family "Bacterial large subunit ribosomal RNA", at positions 1599 to 1818 of the family's 2925-position model. Lineage: Eukaryota; Dinophyceae; Gonyaulacales; Pyrocystaceae. The record is from RNAcentral.
GAAGGGGUCCCAGGAAACAGCCUCCACACCAGACCGUACCCGAAACCGACACAGGUGGACUGGUAGAGCAUACCAAGGCGCUUGAGAGAACGAUGCUGAAGGAACUCGGCAAUCUGCCUCCGUAACUUCGGGAUAAGGAGGCCCUGUCGGUGGGCAACCAUCGGCAGGGGGCACAGACCAGGGGGUGGCGACUGUUUAUCUAAAACACAG